UAGAAUAAAUGGACAGGAGCUCAGACGCCAGGGCCAAGACUCCCAAAUCAACCAGGACAUCACAAAAAGACUUGACUGAAGAGGAGGAGUGGAAAGUCACCUUCCUGUCCAGCAAGACUAGCUUCACUAAGGGCAGGAUCUUGAUUCUGAAGACUAAGUACGCCAUCUCCUGGGGCAAGUCCUCUGUCUCUUGGAGCAGAACCACCGUUACCCUGGGAAAGAUCACUGUGACCAUGGGAAAGACCUCCGUGACACGAGACCAGACCACCAGCUCUCUGACCACUCUCACCUUCACCCACGGAGAGAAGUCUGUGUCUGUGGUCAAAUCCAGCCUCACUAGGGGCAGACAAACUACACGGAACAUCUACUGGGAUUUCCACCUGUGAUUAUUGUAUACGGUUACACUCAAAACAGAGGGACUUUUAUCUGCUCAGUUUCAGCAGUGUGUUUCAGAUUCUCUACUGGGUGUGUGCGCACCUGGAGGAUCCCUCCCAUAGGGGAGAUGAGCUCAGCCAGGGGAGGAGAUGCAAGCCCUGUGUCUAUGCGCCAUGCAAUAUCAUGGGAGGAGAUAGUAUUAAUUGACUUAUUUGCUCUGACGGAGAGAUUACAAACGUUAUGACCAAAAUAAUGUGUCACAUCAAGCAAUAUCGAUAGAUGGAAGGGUGUGCCUCACAUCUCAGUGAAGUGAAUGUGAAGGGAAUGAGGAGCCAGGCAGGGUGUCUCAUGGCCAGUGUAUGUGCAUUUGGAAGAGUAGAAAAAUAGAGGUGCUGGGCUGGGAAGAACUGAAGGCAUAAUUCAUAAUAAUGAACAUGAUGAGGGGAAGUGAUAUGAAGGAUAUAGUAUGUCACAGAGACAGUAGAUAUGGUAAUAGGAGAGGAGGUAGGUGGGGAAAGGUUCAAGUGAUAUCUGAACUUGUAUAAUAGUGUAUAUAUACACUAAUGUUAAGUGUUUGGUCCUGCUGGUAACGUUCACAUUGCAAUGCCAAUGAACCUUGCUUAUGUUUAGUAAGGCAGAUGUCAUUUGUGCAAUAAUAUGCUAGAAAUAUGUGAAAACAAGAGGAUAAUUAGGCUGAAAAGAACACCAAUAUUACGAUCCUCAUUUGUUAUUCUAGGAUGGCAGGCUCCGAGUGCUGCUUUAAUGUGCACAAUGAACAAUGGGACAGCAACUUCUGAGUGGAUGAGAAGGGGUUUUAUGAGGAAAAAAGUAGAGCAGUUGAACCCUGAGAGAGAGAGAGAGAGAGAGAGAGGGGUGAAGAGUGGGACCAUUUGUGGUGCUUUGCCAUUGUUUAACACAAGAAAGGACACACUCAGAGUGAAGAACCAUACUGUACAGUCCCUCACAGAAUCCACAUUCAAGUUUCAAAGUACUUUACAAUCGUUGUGAAGCUGGUUCCACUUUAUAUGUCCUCCUCAGGAUAUUGCAACAGAGACAGUAAUGGCACAUUCUCCCCAGCCACACCCAAAACAAUUGAAGGCUUCAACAUUCAAAAUAUGACUUGCUCUUCCUUCUCUUCUCAUCCACUUUUAUUUACAGGGAGCAAGGGUGCAAUAGGGUAGGACCUCCAAAUCUUUAACUAUCUUAUUUAUGUUGUUUUCUUAGGUUCAACGUGUUGGCACCAACAGUGUUCAUCCAGUCAUGGACCUCGUCAUGAGAGCUCUUAGGCCAGAAUAUGCAACAAAGUAAUAUUUCAACUGGCCUGUAACAAGAUUCCCUAGUGAUAGCUGUUUCUCCUGGUUUGGCCUCUUUUCAAUAAGGUAAAAUAGCAGCUAUUGGUACAGUCCGUUUCUCUCAGAUGAACCAAGUACAGAUGACGCUCUGGUCCCGCCAUGUUUUAAAAA
RNA transcript from Salvelinus fontinalis (brook trout), 1838 nucleotides. It is a transcript of the gene named zwilling, with no coding region annotated. The record is from RefSeq and is a predicted model, not a curated record. The transcript has 2 exons. Lineage: Eukaryota; Metazoa; Chordata; Actinopteri; Salmoniformes; Salmonidae.